GAUGAACGCUGGCGGCGUGCCUAAUACAUGCAAGUCGAGCGAACAGACGAGGAGCUUGCUCCUCUGACGUUAGCGGCGGACGGGUGAGUAACACGUGGAUAACCUACCUAUAAGACUGGGAUAACUUCGGGAAACCGGAGCUAAUACCGGAUAAUAUAUUGAACCGCAUGGAUCAAUAGUGAAAGACGGUUUUGCUGUCACUUAUAGAUGGAUCCGCGCCGCAUUAGCUAGUUGGUAAGGUAACGGCUUACCAAGGCAACGAUGCGUAGCCGACCUGAGAGGGUGAUCGGCCACACUGGAACUGAGACACGGUCCAGACUCCUACGGGAGGCAGCAGUGGGGAAUCUUCCGCAAUGGGCGAAAGCCUGACGGAGCCACGCCGCGUGAGUGAUGAAGGUCUUCGGAUCGUAAAACUCUGUUAUUAGGGAAGAACAAAUGUGUAAGUAACUAUGCACGUCUUGACGGUACCUAAUCAGAAAGCCACGGCUAACUACGUG
This 497-nucleotide ribosomal RNA is filed under the name uncultured bacterium. RNAcentral describes it as "partial 16S ribosomal RNA". It matches the Rfam family "Bacterial small subunit ribosomal RNA", at positions 28 to 507 of the family's 1533-position model. The record is from RNAcentral.